GGUUUUGUCUCGUUGGUCACGGUGUUGCGUUCGCGUCGCAGCGACGAAGAACGCUCGGGGGACUUCGUGGGGAGAGCGGGGGCGCGAGACGUUGCGUCGGAAGUGAGCCUCGCACGUUUGACGGAUCGAUGGCCCGAAGGGCACGCCAUCAGCCAGGCAGGCCUCGGGGCGUCGAUCCGGAGUGGGCUUACGUUCCCUCCCGAUGGAGGACGUGUCGUCGUCGUCCGUUGAGGAUAGGCGAGCCGCGAAGGGAGCGUGUACGCCUGGGUGAAAGAGAGUCACGGAGCUCUACGUUCGCGGUCAAACGGCUUUUAAAACACAAAGGCUGGACGCGAGGGGGACAUACGAGGGCCGCUGUUUUCUUCCCCGGGCCAUCAGGUUCCGCGGGAGGGAGGGAGGGGAUGGCUGGGUGCAGCUCUCCUCUCCCGUCGCACGUGUUCUAGGCGAACGGCUGCCGUCGGCCUGCGGGUUGCAGGGUACGUCGUCGCUUCGGGCAGAUGCGGGGGGCAUUGAGGCGAACAGCUGCGGUGCUGGUGCUUCGCGGGAUGUCGUCCCGCGCACCCGUGGGUUGCGUAGCAGGGUCCUCGUUCGCAGGGUGGUCGGCAUCACCCUUGUCCGGACGUCGACGCUUGGUCGCAUCCGCCGGGUGGCGCUUGCUUCUCUUUCCCCAAUGCAAGGGUGCGAGUGGCACCAAGGAUCGAGGAACGUCCGCCGCGGCGGUCAACCGGGGUUGGUGACCCCAA
RNAcentral lists this ribosomal RNA (743 nucleotides) under Gnetum pendulum. RNAcentral describes it as "partial 18S ribosomal RNA". The record is from RNAcentral. Lineage: Eukaryota; Viridiplantae; Streptophyta; Gnetopsida; Gnetales; Gnetaceae.